UUUGAAGAUACAUUAUUUAUCUCUUUACUUUUUGUGCUCUCCAUCUAUAGAUUUGAUGCUGUUAUCAUAUCGUCAGAAGUUGGACAUGAAAAACCAGAUAUAAAGAUAUUCAGAGCUGCUUUAGAUCAGAUCAGUGUGGAAGCAAUAAAAACUGUUCACGUCGGAGAUGAUGAAAAGGCUGAUAAAGGGGGAGCAACUGCUGCUGGAAUUGACUGCUGGCAAUGGGGUGUAGAUGUGAAGUCGUUCGCAGAUAUACAAAACCACAUUCUAACAGCGCCCUAGCUUUUUUUCAUAAUGGCUCUACCAUCUGGAUGAUACAACUUGACUACAAUCAAGUAUUACUUAUAGAGGAAGCAUCAAAAUACUGUUCGUCUUUGGGUGCCGAGGUGUUAUCGUUUAAUCAUCUAUGCUUCAGUUCUAAAUUAUAAAGUUAGGCUAUAGAGGCUUUUUAUUAGCAUCAUGCUUGGAGUUUUGCAUACUUGUACUGUUAUUAGACCAUGAUAAUAAGAGAAACAUCUAUGAGCAUCCAAAGUUGUUUUUGGAGGGAAUGAUUCAGUAAGCAAUCUGAAAACUCACCCCAAACGUUCAUUCCUUUUGAAUUCCCAGUUUUAAUCACAGCCUACUUUGGUUGUACUCAACUCUUUACAGUUUAAGUAUAUUUGUUGUUUGGUGUGAUUUGUAAAACUAGUUGAAGUAAGUAGCCUGUAAGCUAAUUUGGAGAA
Long non-coding RNA from Capsicum annuum, 722 nucleotides. RefSeq lists it as uncharacterized. The record is from RefSeq and is a predicted model, not a curated record. The transcript is spliced from 4 exons. Lineage: Eukaryota; Viridiplantae; Streptophyta; Magnoliopsida; Solanales; Solanaceae.